RNAcentral lists this ribosomal RNA (450 nucleotides) under uncultured bacterium. Its description in RNAcentral is "bacterial SSU rRNA". It matches the Rfam family "Bacterial small subunit ribosomal RNA", at positions 354 to 796 of the family's 1533-position model. The record is from RNAcentral.
GUGGGGAAUAUUGGACAAUGGGCGAAAGCCUGAUCCAACCAUGCCGCGUGUGUGAAGAAGGUCUUCGGAUUGUAAAGCACUUUAAGUUGGGAGGAAGGGCAGUAAGUUAAUACCUUGCUGUUUUGACGUUACCGACAGAAUAAGCACCGGCUAACUUCGUGCCAGCAGCCGCGGUAAUACGAAGGGUGCAAGCGUUAAUCGGAAUUACUGGGCGUAAAGCGCGCGUAGGUGGUUUUGUAAGUUGGAGGUGAAAUCCCCGGGCUCAACCUGGGAACUGCCUCCAAAACUGCAUGACUAGAGUACGGUAGAGGGUAGUGGAAUUUCCUGUGUAGCGGUGAAAUGCGUAGAUAUAGGAAGGAACACCAGUGGCGAAGGCGACUACCUGGACUGAUACUGACACUGAGGUGCGAAAGCGUGGGGAGCAAACAGGAUUAGAAACCCGUGUAGUCC